UACGUAGGGGGCAAGCGUUGUCCGGAAUCAUUGGGCGUAAAGAGCGUGUAGGCGGUCCGGUAAGUCGGCUGUGAAAGUCCAGGGCUCAACCCUGGGAUGCCGGUCGAUACUGCCGGACUAGAGUUCGGAAGAGGCGAGUGGAAUUCCCGGUGUAGCGGUGAAAUGCGCAGAUAUCGGGAGGAACACCUAUGGCGAAGGCAGCUCGCUGGGACGUUACUGACGCUGAGACGCGAAAUCGUGGGGAGCAAACGGG
This 253-nucleotide ribosomal RNA is filed under the name uncultured bacterium. RNAcentral's name for it is "partial 16S ribosomal RNA". It matches the Rfam family "Bacterial small subunit ribosomal RNA", at positions 524 to 776 of the family's 1533-position model. The record is from RNAcentral.